UGGGAAUCUACAAGGAAAACCCCUUUCCCCCUCCCCCGAUAAGACCAUUUAAGUGUGUGUUAAGCAACUACAGAAUACUAAAUAAAAAGUUUGGCCAAAACCAACCAUGAAGCUGCAAACGAUGCUUGCUCUUACUGUUUCAAAUUUUUGCAACUCUGUAGUGUCUCACUUUUAAGGAACAGCUUGAUUGCAAAGGAGAAAAUAGAUAAGCAAUGAAGUUAUCUCCAACUUCUCAAAGGCUUAUGACUUCUAAAAUGUGAAUCUAUCAGCAUUCCACAUCAGAUUUAAAGCAUCAAAUGCCUGUGAAACAGCAAAGAUGGUUGAGAAUUUUGGUCAUGAUGGUCAUGGAGUGCUGAUUUAUUCACACUAGAUAAAGCGGGCAGCAAGAGAAAUGCAAUGCUAAGAGUUGUUGAAGCAGAAGAAUGCUGAUUGUCCUUAAGGCACAACAGUUGCAUAAGCAGCCCUCAGCAGAAUUGGUUUGGUGCAGACAGUAGAAUUUUGCCUUUCAGGGGUUCCUGUGGCUCUAAGGAAGGCAUCCGUGUUGGUUAGCACUCUUAACUAGGGAGUGGCAGUUUCUUGAAAUGAGGAAUUGGCCAGGUGGAGGAAGGGGCGCAGUUAAGGAAAGUGGUAAGUGGAGGUAGUC
This 643-nucleotide long non-coding RNA is filed under the name Sus scrofa (pig). Its description in RNAcentral is "lncRNA (ENSSSCG00035060037.1)". The record is from RNAcentral. Lineage: Eukaryota; Metazoa; Chordata; Mammalia; Artiodactyla; Suidae.